Molecule: long non-coding RNA, 2564 nt
Filed under: Marmota monax (woodchuck)
Lineage: Eukaryota; Metazoa; Chordata; Mammalia; Rodentia; Sciuridae
Source: RNAcentral
CAAGAGCUUUGCUUUGAACGAGGACUGGGAGUUUGUAUAAAUUACCAUAGUUUGUAAUUUUGUCACUACUGUUUACUUCAUUUGUGUCCUGAAAUUUCUAUGGAAUUUAGAGUGAAAUUUUAACUAUGACAAAGAAAAAACAGAAAGCAAAGAAAGACAGGAAAGAAAUUGUAACAAAAACCCCGGGAUAAUCUUUCUUCAAAUAGUCUUCUGAAAAGAAAACCAUAAAAUCUUUAUUGUGAGAUGUUCGGCUUUUGGAUUACACAUCAGGAAUGUUUUUCCUGGGCUGCAUCUCUCAUGUUCAACCUUCCUCUGGUCACAAUGAAUAUUCAAUUUCCUUCUCUCAGAUUCUGACAGUUACCAAUUUUGAUAUGUCUUUCCUAUUUUUUAUUGCUCUAAAUUUAAAGUAAGCUAGAUGUUUUUCGCUUUCACCUUUUGAAGUUUCAAAAACUUUUCUUGUGUAUGUAUCAAAAAUUACUGUGAGAGGAAUGAAUCUAAACUAAUACUGCUAUGUACAUAUAUGAAUAUACCACAGUGAACCUCACUAUAAUGUAUAUCCACAAGAUACGAGCCAAUAAAAAAAAACUCUAAUAGUAAAUAGCAGAAAUAUCAGUAAAGAAGAGGACAGAGAACAUGAAGAAGGAGGAGGAAAGGGGAAAUACUGAAUAAAUGCUGUGGACUGAAAUUGAGCUAAAAAUUUGAGCUAAAAUUCAUGCUUUUUAAAUUGUGUCAAAAUAGGAAAAGAAAAAUCACUGUGGAACUGCCACAAAUUCUGUAUGUUUAAACAAAAAAAAUCAUAUUUUACAUAUCUGAAUUUUACUAGGUAUUUUCACCUUUCUCUUAAUCCCAAAUAUCUUCAACCUUUAUUCUUCCCUUUAAAUAUGGAUCCUGAGCCAGGCACAGUGGCAUAUGCCUCUAAUUCCAGCAACUCAGGAGGCUGAAGCAGAAAGAUAACAAGUUCACAGCCAACCUGGGCAACUUAGCAAGACCUAGUCUCAAAAUUUAAAAAAAAAGAAAGAAAAAGAAAAAAAAAAAAAAAUAUAUAUAUAUAUAUAUAAAUGACUGGGGUUGUAACUCAGUGGUAAAGUGCCCUUGAGUUCAAUACCCAGUACCAAACUAAAGAAAGAAAAAAUAAUGAGUCCUGGAAAUAUAAGUGAAAAUUGACAAGAGAUCUAAAAGAUUAGCAGAUAAAGUCAAAUUUUUCUGUUCUAGCAUCUAUUCAAAAUUGACUUCCUGUCAUGCUGUUUGUAACCUUUUCUUUUCACAAGUAUUGUAUAGGUAAUAAGAUAGUAUUAUAAAAAUAUGUAGGAAAAUUCUACACAUGUGUCCCAUCCCCUCACCACUCCCCUGAACUGUUGACAAGAAAAAAAUAUAUAUAUUUCCAAAAGUAGGGAAUAAUUUGCUUGGUAAAUUUUAACAUUUGUGUGAAUUGAUCAUGUUUGUGAAAAAUAUUGAAGACUUAUGACUUCUUUAUUCCCUUUAUCUUCACUUGGCUGAACUAAUAAAUUUUGAAUAUAGAUUCAGUAUGGUCAUAGUCUCAAUCAUACCACGUUUAGAAGCAAUGUUCUAGAGUAUGUUUCUCUGCUAGCAUGACUCCACAAAGAAAACGAAACCAAUCCUAACAAAACUCUCCUUGUAACAGAGUAAAAUGAAGCUUGCAACAACUGUUUUGAGAAAUGGUUUGCACAGUGACUAACCACCAAUUUUUCAAACACUGUUGAAGGCAUUUUAAGCUGUAGAAUGGACAGGGCAUGAGAAAAAUCAAUAAAGGGAAAAGAGCUCUGUCACAGAUGAAACCAAAAAAAUACUGUUAAGACCAGCUCCCCUUCUCCAUGCAUCUAUUAUCACAUUCCACUAAAAGGUGUUGAAAAAAUCAGCCAGGUUCCACUAGAGCGAUAGUGUCCAGACAGGCAUGCCUGUAAAUAAUUAAAAGAAUAAACUAGAGUAGAAAAAACAAAAUGGAGGGAAAAAUAAUUAAACUCUGAAAAUUUUGAGUGUACUAAAACUUAAAAAUCUAGAAGAGGGAAAGAACCUAUUCUUCAAAAGAAGAUGCUUUCCAUCCUUCACUAGCAGCAGAGGAUUGAUGGUGUGAUAAUAGCAGCCCUUUGGGUAGGGCUGCUGGGAAGAACACUGUCUUCACUAAGGCUUUACUAGGUGUUCAAUAGCCCAGGGCAAUAUGAGCAACGUCCUUGUUUCUAGAAUUGAGUAAACCAAAUCAGGAUGAACGACACAUGGUUUAAUAGUUAACUUUUAGAACAAGGGGCAGGGAGAUGCUUUUAUACCAUAGUCCCAGUUUUCAUUCCAAUCUCAUUACUGAAGUCUGUUCUGAGAGCAUUUACAGCUUUCCGGAGAGUCUGACUUAGGAGGAAUCCUGAAAAUGGAAAUAUAGCUUAAUGGCCUUUCUGUCCUGGAGUCUCCAAUACAGGUGAAUCUGUGAUAAAUCAUGCUCUAGAACCCAAAGCAUUGUUAUUAAUGUAGUUGUUAUUAUUAUUAUAUUAUUAGUCUUUUCAUCUGUUAGUCAUUCUCUAUUCAUUUUCCUAUGCUAGAAAUACGUGAAAGUUUUG